UUCUUUACAGAUUUGAUGGAUGUUUUCCAAAAUUAAGAUAUUUUACACUGCAGUUAAAGGAAUAGGAAAUUGAAAUACAUGUUCUUUAUGACUGUAUCUUGAGUGUAAAAAUUUUUCAGUUUGAAACUUGGACCUAAAGUGUUGCAAAUGGAAGUGAUAAAUCCCAAUGGACUGAGUGAAUGCAACUUUUCCUAUGGGAUGUGCAACACUCCAAGGACUUCCUCACUGGGGCUGUGGGUGCUUGGAGCUUUGUCCUGUGCCACUCUGGGAUGUCAUGAAAUGGGACUUCACCUGCCACCAGCCCAGGUCACGCUGUGCCACCCCAGCUCCUUGGACCUUGUGUCCCCAAAAAAGAUACAAGGUGUUUCUGCUGCUCCACCUUUGCACAGAGCCACAGAGAGCUGGAAUUAUCCCAUUUCUCAUGUCUCCAUUGUGCCAUAUUCCUAAAGAACCAGCAGCCCAUCCCGACGAAUAUGCUCUUGGACACCUACUCACACAGAGCUGGGAAAAAAAAUCCCCUGGCCAUACUCACACAGAGCUGGGAAAAAAAAUCCCCUGGCCAUGGCUUACAAGGUGAGUUAUGCCAAACUUAGAGCUCUGUGGGAAAUCUCUAUCCAUCCCUAUCCCUUUAAUAUAUCUAUAAGUGGGGGCGUGCAUGGAUGUGUUUUGUAUGGAAAGGAAGGAGUGUGCAAACAACGUGACUGACACAUUCACUGUGUUCAUUCCAUACUCAUGGGUACAAAAAUAUUAUGGAAACCUUUGCGAAGACAGACCUGUCCAUGGAUACAGAGACAUCCAAGAGCCCCUGUGUUGGGGGUUAGGUGUCCUUUUUUUGUUCUGGCUUGCCUGUGGAAUUUUUACCCAUUAGUUGCGGGGACAACCUAACUGUGGGUGCUCGACAAAGGACAAAGAGUGGCCGGGCCCAGGGGUGGUGAAGGGGACAGGAAAGGAGGGUGGGGGACAGUUUUUGGCUGGCUUUCUUUGGCUUCAGGGAAAGACAUUCGUUUUCUGGGUCGCGGAGCUUCUACGGGAGAGAGAAGGGAAUUUUGCCAUCACCCAGACGAAGCUGCUGCUUCUUCUCCUUCUUCCCUCUUCGUUGGUUGGCCUCACAUCCCCUGUCCUGCCGGGACGUGUGGCAGUGCCAGGCACCGCCGCGGAGCUGCUGAUACACCUCAGCCACCGGCCCAGGAUCUCAGCUCAUCCCUGCUGUUCCAGCCGACUGUUCCCCGGAGCCCUGCAGGAGCACCAGACUGACUGCCCGAGGGGUUUGUGAAAACAAAGCCUCUCCUCCAUCCUGUCUCAGCCGAGAAAGCUGUCCCGGGGUCCCUGGUUCUGUGUUCUUGUUAUUGCUGUAGUUAUUGUUUGUUUGUUUGCCUGGUUAUACUAGUAAAGAACUGUUAUUCCUAUCUCCAGAUCUCUGCCUGAAAGCCCCUUGAUUUCAAAAUUAUAAUAAUUCAGAGGGAGGGGAGUCUACAUUCUUUCAUCCCAAGGGAAGCUCCUGCUCUCCCUAGCAGACACCUGUCUUCUAGAACCAAGACACCCUGGCACAGACAGACCCUUCUGUCCAUGGAUACAGAGAUAUCCAAGAGUCCCUGGCACAGACAGAUCCUUCUGUCCAUAGAUACAGAGACAUCCAAGAGCCCCUGGCACAGACAGACAUUGCUGCUCUUCAGCCAGUGACAGGACGUGUCCCUAAGACUGGGGCUUAGUCUUCCUCAUGGUGAGCGGCAUCAAGGAAGGCUGCAGUGUGAUGGAGACUGUGAUGGGCUGGGAACUCACUGGGGGAAAAAAAGGGAGCAGUUGUGUAUGGAUGCUAAAUCUAAACCACAGUGCCUGUACAAAUUACAGGCCGCCUGGCUCCUCGGGCUGACGGAGAAAAUAGCCUGGGAAAAAUAAGAGAAGGAAUUAAAACAAUUCUCAGGGACACUAAACAGCCUUGCAGGUGUUGUUUUGCAGUUUUGUUUUCUCUUGCAGGAGAAGGCCAGGGGGGUGAUGGGCCCCCCUGACCAAUGAUGGUGAUGUAGCACUUUGUUAACCAGUAGGAGUUUCUUUUCUGUACCUUCCACGUACCAGUCUAUAAAAAGCAGGCCUGAGGUAAUAAACCAGAGAAUUCUCAUGUUGUGACCCCCCUU
RNAcentral lists this long non-coding RNA (2132 nucleotides) under Cyanistes caeruleus (blue tit). RNAcentral's name for it is "lncRNA (ENSCCEG00000007565.1)". Lineage: Eukaryota; Metazoa; Chordata; Aves; Passeriformes; Paridae. The record is from RNAcentral.